This 478-nucleotide ribosomal RNA is filed under the name uncultured bacterium. RNAcentral describes it as "partial 16S ribosomal RNA". It matches the Rfam family "Bacterial small subunit ribosomal RNA", at positions 28 to 523 of the family's 1533-position model. The record is from RNAcentral.
GACGAACGCUGGCGGCGUGCUUAACACAUGCAAGUCGAACGGUAAGGCCCUUCGGGGUACACGAGUGGCGAACGGGUGAGUAACACGUGGGUGAUCUGCCCUGCACUUCGGGAUAAGCCUGGGAAACUGGGUCUAAUACCGGAUAGGACCCUGGGAUGCAUGUCCUGGGGUGGAAAGCUUUUGCGGUGUGGGAUGGGCCCGCGGCCUAUCAGCUUGUUGGUGGGGUGAUGGCCUACCAAGGCGACGACGGGUAGCCGGCCUGAGAGGGUGACCGGCCACACUGGGACUGAGAUACGGCCGAGACUGCUACGGGAGGCAGCGGUGGGGAAUAUUGCACAAUGGGCGCAAGCCUGAUGCAGCGACGCCGCGUGAGGGAUGACGGCCUUCGGGUUGUAAACCCCUUUCAGCACCGACGAAGCGCAAGUGACGGUAGGUGCAGAAGAAGGACCGGCCAACUACGUGCCAGCCGCCGCCGUAA